This 420-nucleotide long non-coding RNA is filed under the name Gossypium raimondii (Peruvian cotton). RNAcentral describes it as "long non-coding RNA (GRAI_LNC004842)". Lineage: Eukaryota; Viridiplantae; Streptophyta; Magnoliopsida; Malvales; Malvaceae. The record is from RNAcentral.
GAUAAGCUUUAUUUCUCUGGUACCAUAUUACCCAUAGAGUUAUUACAAGUCGUGUGCAUUGUUCUUCACUUAUGCUAGUAAAUAAAUGUGCUAACCAUAUUUUCCAUUGUUGGUUGUGGGGCCUGAUUGAGCCAUCAAUCCAUAUCCCAUGUAAGGUGUUAUUGACUGUUGCACAUUCCAAGAAGAUGUGACUUCAUUAUUAAUAUAGACAAAAAAAAAGAAAAAAAAUAUUUGAUACACUGUGAGUGGAAAAGGCCAGGGGACAAUUUUUUUAGACUGCUUUUACUUGGGAAAUAAAAAAAAGUUAUAAAAAAAAGUUACAUUGUCAAUGUACCAAAUACUAAUCCAUAAAAAAUAUGUAAUUAUAUAAUAAAAUUAUUUUUUUUACUUGUGGGUAGGGGUGAGCUUUCGAUUGAAUCG